Molecule: unclassified non-coding RNA, 232 nt
Filed under: Hevea brasiliensis (rubber tree)
Lineage: Eukaryota; Viridiplantae; Streptophyta; Magnoliopsida; Malpighiales; Euphorbiaceae
Source: RNAcentral
UUUCAUGUCAAUUUCCAUCAAAUUCUAUUAAAUUCGAUAGAAUUUGAAAUGAAUUCUAUAUACUUAAAACAAUCAAAUUUUUUGGAUUAAAACGCCCAUGUAUUCUCAUGAACACUUCCUCUUUUCUCCUGCAUCUCCUCCAUUAAUUGUUAUAAAUUUAUUAUAUAUAAGUUUUUUUUUUAUAGAGGAAGAAAUUAUAAUAUUUUUUUAUUUUAUUGUGAAAGUUAGUUUA